RNAcentral lists this unclassified non-coding RNA (377 nucleotides) under uncultured bacterium. RNAcentral describes it as "contains 16S-23S intergenic spacer region". The record is from RNAcentral.
UCUCGGCUUAUCACCGGCGGUCCCCUUAGAGUGCCCAACUUAAUGAUGGCAACUAAGGGCGAGGGUUGCGCUCGUUGCGGGACUUAACCCAACAUCUCACGACGCGAGCUGACGACAGCCAUGCAGCAUCUGUGCAGGUGCCCCGAAGGGAGACCGUGUUUCCACGGCUGUCACCUGCAUGUCAAGCCCAGGUAAGGUUCUUCGCGUUGCAUCGAAUUAAGCCACAUGCUCCGCCGCUUGUGCGGGUCCCCGUCAAUUCCUUUGAGUUUUAGCCUUGCGGCCGUACUCCCCAGGCGGGGAACUUAAUGCGUUAGCUUCGGCACGGACGGAGUCGACACCGCCCACACCUAGUUCCCAUCGUUUACGGCGUGGACUAC